This 599-nucleotide long non-coding RNA is filed under the name Brassica napus (rape). Its description in RNAcentral is "long non-coding RNA (BNAP_LNC009863)". The record is from RNAcentral. Lineage: Eukaryota; Viridiplantae; Streptophyta; Magnoliopsida; Brassicales; Brassicaceae.
GUAUGAUAAUGUGAUGAAAAUCACCUGGAUAAGAUGAGCUAAUGAUGUGUUAAUGACGAUGAUGUGUUAAUGAUGAGUAAUGAUGAUGAGCUAAUGAUAAGUUAAUGAUGAGGUUAUGAUGAGCUAAUUAUGAGUUAAUGAUGAUCUAAUUAUGAAUUAAUGUGUAAUGAUGAAUGGCGUGAUGAUUGACACACCGAGAACGGAUGGCAUCUUGUAUGUAAUUAGUUAAUGUGUAAUGAUGAAUGACGUGAUGAUCGAGUCAUGCUGAGUUGUGGCAGAUGUGGCUGCAAGUACCGCCGCACAGAUAGUGUCGAAAGGGUCCAAAUGGCUGCGGCUGGGAAGUUGCGUAGGUAGCCUCGAGACAGUUGUUAACGUAAAAUCUCGUGGGAUGGGCCAUCACAAGGAGGGACGUCCGUAAGCGUGCCAUAGGUCCUUAGAGUCUAGCUUGUUCACUGCAUAAUAGAUCUUAUUAACUUGUAAUUGUGAUGAUUGUUUACUUUUCCUGAUCUGAGUUUGUGGGUUCCUUGAACCUACACUCUCUGAGUAAUCACUACUCACCCCUCUCUUUUUAGGUAUAGCCGAGAGAGAGCAGGAGUAGG